RNAcentral lists this ribosomal RNA (1423 nucleotides) under Iphianassa zackieohii. RNAcentral describes it as "16S ribosomal RNA". It matches the Rfam family "Bacterial small subunit ribosomal RNA". Lineage: Bacteria; Bacillati; Cyanobacteriota; Cyanophyceae; Nostocales; Symphyonemataceae. The record is from RNAcentral.
AGAGUUUGGACAUGGCUCAGGAUGAACGCUCCAGUAUGCUUAACACAUGCCAGUCGAACGGACUCUUCGGAGUUAGUGGCGGACGGGUGAGUAACGCGUGAGAAUCUGGCUUCCGGUUCGGGACAACAGUUGGAAACGACUGCUAAUACCGGCCAGGCCUGUGGGUGAAAGAUUAAUUGCCGGAAGAUGAGCUCGCGUCUGAUUAGCUAGUUGGUGUGGUAAGAGCGCACCAAGGCGACGAUUGAUAGCUGGUCUGAGAGGAUGAUCAGCCACACUGGGACUGAAACACGGCCCAGACUCCUGGAACCGGCACAGUGGCCAGAUUUUCCGCAAUGGGCGAAAGCCUGACGGAGCAAUACCGCGUGAGGGAGGGACGCUCUUGGGUUGUAAACCUCUUUUCUCAGGGAAUAAGAAAGUGAAGGUACCUGAGGAAUAAGCAUCGGCUAACUCCGUGCCAGCAGCCCCGAUAAUACGGAGCCGAAGCGUUAUCCGGAAUGAUUGGGCGUACCGAGCUUCGCAGGUGGUUGCUCAAGUCUGCUGUCAAAGAGUUUGGCUCAACCAAAUAAAGGCAGUGGAAACUGAGGACCAGGAGUGCGGUAAGGGCAGAGGGAAUUCCUGGUGUAGCGGUGAAAUGCGUAGAGAUCCCAAAGAACACCAUGGCGAAAGCGCUCUGCUGGGCCGUAACUGACACUGAGGGACGAAAGCUAGGGGAGCGAAUGGGAUUAGAUACCCCAGUAGGACGCCGUAAACGAUGGAUACUAGGCGUUGCCCGAAUCGGGACGGCAGUGUCGCCGACUUCAGUUAAGUAUCCCGCCUGGGGAGCUACGCACGCAAGUGUGAAACUCAAAGGCCAGUGACGGGGGCCCGCACAAGCGGCCAGUAUGUGGUUUAAUUCGAUGCAACGCGAAGAACCUUACCAGGGAAGCAUGUCCGGAAUCUACCUGAAAGGGAAGAGUGCCUUCGGGAGCCGGAACACAGGUGGUGCACCGAGUCGUCAGCUCUUGAGCCAGGAUGUUUUGAUAAGUCCCGCAACGAGCGCAACCCUCGUUCUUAGUUGCCAGCAUUAAGUUGGGGAUAGACUGCCGGUGACAAACCGGAGGCAAGGUGGGGAUGACGUCAAGGGACUGCCCCUUACGUCCUGGGCGACACACGUACUACAAUGCUGUGGACAAAGGGCAGCGAGGGACAAGUUAAGCAAACCACACAAAGGACGACUCAGUUCAGAUCGCAGGCUGCAACUCGCCUGCGUGAAGGAGGAAUCGCUAGUAAUUGCACCAGAAGCAUACUGCAGUGAAUUCGUUCCCGGGCCUUGUACACACCGCCCGUCACCCGAGCUGGUCACGCCCGAAGGGACUACUCCAACCCAUGUGGAGGAGGACGCCGAAGGUAGGACUGGUGACUGGGGUGAAGCCAGAACAAGGUA